GACGAAGGUGGCAAGCGUUGUUCGGAAUCACUGGGCAUAAAGCGCACGUAGGCGGCUAAGUAAGUCGGAUGUGAAAUACCUCGGCUCAACCGAGGAACUGCGUCCGAUACUGCUUGGCUUGAGGUCCGGAGGGGAGAGUGGAAUUCCCGGUGGAGCGGUGAAAUGCGUAGAGAUCGGGAAGAACGCCGGCGGCGAAAGCGACUCUCUGGUCGGAAUCUGACGCUGAGGUGCGAAAGCUAGGGGAGCAAACGGG
Molecule: ribosomal RNA, 253 nt
Filed under: uncultured bacterium
Lineage: Bacteria
Description: partial 16S ribosomal RNA
Rfam family: Bacterial small subunit ribosomal RNA
Source: RNAcentral